UCGGGAAUAUUGCGCAAUGGAGGAAACUCUGACGCAGUGACGCCGCGUAUAGGAAGAAGGUUUUCGGAUUGUAAACUAUUGUCGUUAGGGAAGAUAAAAGACAGUACCUAAGGAGGAAGCUCCGGCUAACUAUGUGCCAGCAGCCGCGGUAAUACAUAGGGAGCAAGCGUUAUCCGGAAUUAUUGGGUGUAAAGGGUGCGUAGACGGAGGAACAAGUUAGUUGUGAAAUCCCUCGGCUUAACUGAGGAACUGCAACUAAAACUAUUCCCUGAGUGUCGGAGAGGAAAGUGGAAUUCCUAGUGUAGCGGUGAAAUGCGUAGAUAUUAGGAGGAACACCAGUGGCGAAGGCGACUUUCUGGACGAUAACUGACGUUGAGGCACGAAAGUGUGGGGAGCAACAGGAUUAGAUACC
RNAcentral lists this ribosomal RNA (412 nucleotides) under uncultured bacterium. RNAcentral describes it as "bacterial SSU rRNA". It matches the Rfam family "Bacterial small subunit ribosomal RNA", at positions 355 to 786 of the family's 1533-position model. The record is from RNAcentral.